This 1876-nucleotide ribosomal RNA is filed under the name Melanogrammus aeglefinus (haddock). Its description in RNAcentral is "SSU rRNA". It matches the Rfam family "Eukaryotic small subunit ribosomal RNA". The record is from RNAcentral. Lineage: Eukaryota; Metazoa; Chordata; Actinopteri; Gadiformes; Gadidae.
UUGGUUGCAUCCUGCCCAGUAGAUUGUUGUCUCAAAGUUUAAGCCAUGCAUGUAUAAGUCACACGGCUGAAAGUGAACAUGGCGAUGCUUCAUUUUUAAAUCAGUUAUAGGUUCCUUUGAUCGCUCACCCCGCUACUUAGUGAAUAACUUGUGGCAAUUCUAGAGUAAUAAUGCAACGAGCGCUGACCUCCGGGGAUGCGUGCUUUAUUCAGACCUAAAACCGCGCGGGGCGUCGCCGCGUGGCGGCCCGGCCUGUUUUUGUGACUCCUUAGAUACCUGGGCCCGAUCGGCUCGCCUCGCAAUAGGCGGCGGACUCAUUCGAAUGUCUUUGCCCAUUCAACUUUCCGAUGGCUACUCUAUGUGGCCUAAUUGUGACCACGGGGUUCACGGGGAAUCAGGGUUCGUUCCGGAGAGAGGAGCCUGAGAAUGGUACCAAUCCAAGGAAGGCAGCAGGCGCGCAAAUUACCCUUUCACGACUCGUGGAGGUAGUGACGAAAAUAACAUACAGGACUCUUUCAGAGGCCCUGUAAUUUGGAAUGAGCUGUACUUUAAAUCCUUUGGCAGUUACAAUUGGAGGGCAAGGGUCUGGUGCCAGCGCCGCGGUAAUUUCCAGCUCCAAUAAGGGUAUCUUAAAAGUUUCUGCAGUUAAAAAAGCUCUAGUUGGGAUCUCGGGGCGCGGGCUGACGGAUCCGCGAAAGGACGGUGCCACCGACUGUCCCAGGCCCUGCCUCUCAGGCGCCCCUCGUAUGCUCUUGGUUGAGUUGUUCUUUGCGGGCGUUCGAGCGUUACUUUUUGGAAAAUUGAGUGUUUCAAGCGAGCCCAGUUGCCGAAUCACUGCAGCUAGGAAUAAUGAAGUAGCGGACUCGGUUCUAUUUUGUUGGGUUCUUCUCAAUGGAUGAGGGCCAUGAUUAAGAGGCGGCGGGGCAUUCGCUUUGCGACCGCUAGAGGUGAAAUAUUAUUGGACCCGGCGCAAGACGGACGGAAAGCGAAGCAAUUUGCAGAAUGGGUUUUCAAAUUAAUCAAGAACGGAAGUCGGAGGUUCGAUAGACGAUCAAGAUACCGUUCGUCAGUUACGACCAUAAACGAUGCCGACUAGCGACUCCGGCGGCGUUAUUUCCAUGACCCGCCGUGGGAGCUACCGAACCAGUCUUUGGGUUCGGGGGGAGCUAUGGUGCAAAGCUGAAACUAUAAAAGGAAUUGACGGAAGAGGCACCACCAGGGUUGGAGGCUGCGGCUUCAAUUGACUCAAACGGGAAACCCAAUCACCGGCCCGGCACGGAGCGAUUGACAGAUUGAUAGCUCUUCUCGAUUAACUGUGGGUGGUGGUGCCAUGCCGUUCGUGUUGGUGGAGCGAUUUGUCUGGUUAAUUCCGACACACGAACGGGGCUCUGGACACGGCUACAAUAGAUUACGCGGGGCCCCGUGCGGUCGGCGUCCAGAACUUCUCUAGAGGGACAAGUGGCGUUACAGCCACACCGAGAUUGAAGCAAAUACAGGUUGUGAUGCCUUAGAUUGUCCGGGGCUGCACGCGCGGUGCGCCACACUGAGCGGACAUCAGCGUGUGCCUUUGCCCUUCGGCGACAGGCAGUUGAUGGUAAACCGCUGAACCCCGCUCGUUGAUGGGGAUGAGGGAUUGCAACUAUUUCCAUGACGAGAAGUUCAGUAAGCACGGGUCCAAGCUCGUGUUGAUUAAGUCCCUGCCCUUUAGUACCACACCGCCGUCGCUACUACCGAUUGGAUGGCUAUAGUUGAGGUCCUCGAUCGGCCGCGGAAGUUUCACGGGCUCUGCGCCGCGGCGUGCCGAGAGACGAUCAAACUUGAUAUUAAGAGGAAGUAAAAGUUCGUUAACAAGGUUUCCGUAGGUGAACUGCGGAAA